CGGGGAGGGAGGGGGAGGGGCCGGGAGCUGGGGGUAAGGGAGGAGUGAGCCUGGGUGCUGUGGGGGGAGGGGGUUGUUCAAGGGAUGGGGACGAUCAGGGUCUCUGGGAAGUGCUGACGUGUGCGCGUGUGCGGUGUGUUGCUUGUGGGUGCGUGUGUGGUGUGUGCAUGUGUGUGCGCGCGCGUGUGUGCGGGGUGUGCCGUGAGCGUGUGCCCGCGGUUCGGGGGAUGAGUAGGGGCGCUGACUUUUAGGACCAGCCAUUUGAGUCAAGCUGGAGACGACGUCUUAGAACCUAGGAUGAGUCUCGUUUGGUUUUAGUCUGCAAAGCUCGUCUGCAUCAGACAGGAAUUUUCCCCAGACGCGGGUGCACGUGAAUUAAUUCAUCAGAAGGCGGUUCACGGCCUGAGUGAGGGGGACGAGGGCGGCGAAUUCCUCCGCCUCAUUCCUACCCUGACGAUUCGAGAGUGGCUGUACCAUUUUGCAUUCCCAGACCGAAGUGUGAAAGCUCCAGAUGCCCCACGCCCUCACCAGCCCACGGUGUUGUCAGCCUUAAUAGUGCUGACCAUUCUGGUGGGUUUGCAGUGUAUCUCAUUGUGUUUUAAUUUGCAUUACCUUGACAACUAAUGGCGUUGAGACUUUCAUAUAUCUUUAGUAAAGAGUCCUUCCAAAU
RNAcentral lists this long non-coding RNA (670 nucleotides) under Homo sapiens (human). RNAcentral's name for it is "non-protein coding lnc-PDE6B-1:5". The record is from RNAcentral. Lineage: Eukaryota; Metazoa; Chordata; Mammalia; Primates; Hominidae.